RNAcentral lists this long non-coding RNA (248 nucleotides) under Panax ginseng (ginseng). RNAcentral describes it as "long non-coding RNA (PGIN_LNC018926)". The record is from RNAcentral. Lineage: Eukaryota; Viridiplantae; Streptophyta; Magnoliopsida; Apiales; Araliaceae.
AUUCAAGCUUAUGGUUAAAUCAUUGCUGAUUGCCAUGAAAAUUGUACUCUGUACUUCUUGCAUGUAUAAGUCAGGUAUGAAAGGCUGAUCACCUUCAUUACCAAUUGAUUCAGAAAUGUUUGUUCAUGUUUAAAACUUGUUCAGUCAAAAGUUUGUUCCUGCUAGUUCUCAAUUAUAUUGAUGAAUUAUAGCCAGCUUAUUAUUCAUACUCUUCAAUCAUGAUAUAUUCCUAUAUUGUUGUAUUUUAA